This 242-nucleotide ribosomal RNA is filed under the name Toxoplasma gondii. RNAcentral describes it as "partial 28S ribosomal RNA". It matches the Rfam family "Eukaryotic large subunit ribosomal RNA", at positions 1 to 235 of the family's 3401-position model. The record is from RNAcentral. Lineage: Eukaryota; Apicomplexa; Conoidasida; Eucoccidiorida; Sarcocystidae.
CAGACCUGAAAUCAGGCGAGGUUACCCGCUGAACUUAAGCAUAUUAUUAAGCGGAGGAGAAGAAAAUAACUAUGAUUCCCUUAGUAACGGCGAGUGAACCGGGAUCAGCUCAAAGUGGAAAUCAACUGCUCUUUCCGAGCUGUUGACUUGUAGCCUCGAGAGGCGUUACCAGUGGAAGCGCAGGGUUAAGUUUCUUGGGAAAGAACAUCAUAGAGGGUGAGAAUCCCGUCCUUCCCCUGCGU